GAGCUUGCUCAGAUAUGACGAUGGACAUUGCAAAGAGUGGCGAACGGGUGAGUAACACGUGGGAAACCUACCUCUUAGCAGGGGAUAACAUUUGGAAACAGAUGCUAAUACCGUAUAACAAUAGCAACCGCAUGGUUGCUACUUAAAAGAUGGUUCUGCUAUCACUAAGAGAUGGUCCCGCGGUGCAUUAGUUAGUUGGUGAGGUAAUGGCUCACCAAGACGAUGAUGCAUAGCCGAGUUGAGAGACUGAUCGGCCACAAUGGGACUGAGACACGGCCCAUACUCCUACGGGAGGCAGCAGUAGGGAAUCUUCCACAAUGGGCGAAAGCCUGAUGGAGCAACGCCGCGUGUGUGAUGAAGGGUUUCGGCUCGUAAAACACUGUUGUAAGAGAAGAAUGACAUUGAGAGUAACUGUUCAAUGUGUGACGGUAUCUUACCAGAAAGGAACGGCUAAAUACGUGCCAGCAGCCGCGGUAAUACGUAUGUUCCAAGCGUUAUCCGGAUUUAUUGGGCGUAAAGCGAGCGCAGACGGUUAUUUAAGUCUGAAGUGAAAGCCCUCAGCUCAACUGAGGAAUUGCUUUGGAAACUGGAUGACUUGAGUGCAGUAGAGGAAAGUGGAACUCCAUGUGUAGCGGUGAAAUGCGUAGAUAUAUGGAAG
RNAcentral lists this ribosomal RNA (658 nucleotides) under Weissella cibaria. RNAcentral's name for it is "bacterial SSU rRNA". It matches the Rfam family "Bacterial small subunit ribosomal RNA", at positions 64 to 704 of the family's 1533-position model. The record is from RNAcentral. Lineage: Bacteria; Bacillati; Bacillota; Bacilli; Lactobacillales; Lactobacillaceae.